RNAcentral lists this ribosomal RNA (253 nucleotides) under uncultured bacterium. RNAcentral's name for it is "partial 16S ribosomal RNA". It matches the Rfam family "Bacterial small subunit ribosomal RNA", at positions 524 to 776 of the family's 1533-position model. The record is from RNAcentral.
UACGUAUGUGGCAAGCGUUUUCCGGAUUUAUUGGGUUUAAAGGGUGCGUAGGCGGCUUUGUAAGUCAGUGGUGAAAUAUGGCAGCUCAACUGUCAAGGUGCCAUUGAUACUGCAGAGCUUGAGUACAGAUGAUGUUGGCGGAAUAUGACAUGUAGCGGUGAAAUGCAUAGAUAUGUCAUAGAACACCGAUUGCGAAGGCAGCUGACAAAACUGUAACUGACGCUGAGGCACGAAAGUGUGGGGAUCAAACAGG